This is a long non-coding RNA of Diospyros lotus (date-plum), 5325 nucleotides long. RefSeq lists it as uncharacterized. NCBI's taxonomy places the organism in Eukaryota, Viridiplantae, Streptophyta, Magnoliopsida, Ericales, Ebenaceae. The transcript is spliced from 3 exons. The record is from RefSeq and is a predicted model, not a curated record.
CCAGCAUCCCAAUCUUCGCAUCUUCCUAUCAAUUCUAAAUCCCUACCAAAUCCAAAUCCAAAAUUGUCUCUUCUUCCCGUCAAUCCAAAUUCACCUCUUCUUUUGAUUUUCCUUCUCUUCACUCUAUUCCCUUUUGUGUUUGUCCGAACCCUUCUUUCAUACUAUUGGCAAUCGAAGCCUUGCAUAUCGUGCGUUGUUGCUUGUGUCAUCCUCGCUCUCGGUUUUGUGUCACCAUUCAAAAAGGUGGAUUUCAAAUCAAAUUGAUACACCGGAAGUUGCAUUUGGGCAACCAAAGCCAACAUGACUCUCACAAUUUCAAAGCGAGCAACGGGAGAGAAAGUAUCAUCAAAAUCUAUACUUGGCAAUUGUGGCAUUUCACUGUUGCUAAAGGAGCCGGAUAAUGGAGAAUAUGAACUUGCUGGACUUAUAUUGCUGCUAUCACCAGGUGAGGAAGGAGUUAAACUUGCAAGGGAUGGAGAAUUUGAAGUUGCAGGUGAUGGCAUUUUUGGUUGUUCAACAUCAAAAUUUGAAAGAACCUGAAUUGUUAACAUUCCAACUUAAACAUGCCUCCUUAUUGAACACAACGUUCCUGCUAAUUAUCACUUUGCCACUUAUAGGAUUAUAUAAGUGAUAUGCUUUGGAUUGAGGACUAUAGCAAUCGAAAAUGCAUUUUUCAAAAUUUUCAUCAAGUUUAGAACGAGAAUUAACCAAAGCAUAUGCUACACAACCAAAAAUUUUUAAGUGGCUUACCCAAGGCUUCUUGCCCCUCCAUGCUUCGUAUGGUGUUAUAUUGAGAACGACCCUCAUUGGAGACAUAUUCAAGAGAUACACUGUUGUUGCUACUACUUCUCCCCAAAAAUGAUUUGGAAGCCCCUUUGCCUUCAACAUACUUCUAGCCAUUUCCACCACCGUAUGAUUUUUUCGCUCCGCAACACCAUUUUGCUAUGGCGUGUAAGGUGUUGUAAGUUCUCUGUGUAUGCCAUGCUCAUCACAAAAAUCAGUGAAAUCAUUAUAUAAGAAUUCACCGCCUCGAUCUGUUCGAAGUGCUUUUAUGCUGUUGCCACUUUGUGUCUCCACCAAUGCCUUGAAUUUCUUGAAAUUCUCAAAGGUUUCUUAUUUGAAUUUCAAGAAAUAAACCCAACUCAUACAGUUAUAAUCAUCUGUAAAUAGCAAAAAAUAACGACUACCUCCAAGUGACUUAGUUUGCAUAGGCCGACACAAAUCAGCAUGCACAAGUUUAAUACAAUUUGAAGCCCUCCAUGAUUUUCCAAUAGGAAAUGAUCUUCUACUUUGUUUCCUAUAAACAAACCCUUCACAAAAAUCAAGUUCACCAAUUUCCGGCAAGCCAACAACCAUUUCUUUCUAUCUUAAAAGUCUUAAACUGUUCACAUUCAAAUGCCCAAAAUGUAAAUGCCAUAGUUUAGCCUCAUUAUUUCCCCUAACAACUAAGGCUUUGCUCACUGCAUUUGAAACAUCAAAAGGAAACAUUUUGUUUUGUGUCAUAUGGACAUUUGCAAUGAUUUGACCAGAUUUUUUAUCAUUAACAACACAUGAAUCACCAUCAAACACAACCUUAUAUCCACUAAUCAUCAAUUGUUUAACACUCAAUAAGUUAUGAGCUAAACGAGGCAAAAAUUGCACAUCAUAAAGGAGUUUGACAUCACUUUGUAAGGUUUUGAUGGCAAUUGUACCUUUCCCUUCUACUUGCAUCUGCUUGUUGUCUCUGAGUCGAACGUCACCUUUCUGUGACUUGUCAAGCUCUUUGAACAACGACUUUGUCCCAGACAUGUGGUUGGAGCAUCCAUUUUCCAAAAACCAUACUAUAUUGCGGUUUAGCGUAUCUUGAAUAAGUAAAUGGCCAUGAAUAGCUUGCUCUCCUCUUCAACCUUCUCUGUAAAAUUUACUUGCUUCUAUUCUUCCCUCUGUUUGGCCUAACAGUUUACUUCUUUAUGCCCCAUUUUGUUGCAAUAUCUACAUUGGAUUAAGAUCUUGUAUUGACGUGUUUCACCAAAUUGACCUCUACCUCUACCGCUACGACCUCGUCUAUGAAAUCCACCUCUGCCUUUGCCUCGGCCUCCUUAAUUUUAUGACUUUCCUUUGAAAGAAGACUCCCAUUUCACCUGAAAAGCCUUCUCUUCAACCUUUUUAGAUGAUUUGCUAAGCCUAUCUUUAUGAGCUAGCAGAGAGCUCAUCAAUUCAUCAAAGGAAUAAGUGGACAUAUCCUUUGACUCUUCAAUUGCAGCAACAACAUUAUUGAAUUUUGAGGUUAAACUCCUCAAAACCUUGCACACAACUGUCUCAUUACUGAUUUUUUCACCAUAACUCUUCAUGUGAUUGACAAUACCAGACACCCUAGAAAAAAAUUCUUACACAGAUUCUUAUUCUUACAUAGCCAACGUUUCAAAAUUAAGACGAAGAGUUUAUAGCUUCAGAGUAAUUACCUUUUUGUCUCCCAUAUUCUCUCGCAGCUGUUAAGUAGGCUCAAUUGGUUGCCUAUCUUCAAACCCGUUUUCUACCAAGUCCCAUAUCUCUUGAGACUUGAAGAGAGUUUUCAUCUUGAGACUCCAAAAAUGAUAAUUUACCCAUUUGAAAAUUGGAAUAAGGGGUUGAGAUAAAGCAUUUGUGCCAUUUUCUACCAUUGGUCUGCAAAUUAGAAUCACCUUUUAUUUCACCUUUUAUUCUUUGUCUCUCACUUGAUCUUUUCCCUUAUGGAAAAAAAGAUCGAAACCUAGUUGUGGCUCUGAUACCACAAAUGUUGGUAAGAUGGAGGAAAAAACUAUAUUGCAAUAGAAUAUUGAGAGGCAAGGUCAAUAACAAAAGGUCAUCCAUUAAAAAAGUCUAAUACACCAAGCCUUGAAUAAUGCUAGUAGUAGCAACAAAAAAUGCUAAACAACAAGAUCACAAACCCAUUACCAGGUUUAGUGCCAGAUGUAAUUGACCACUAACAUAAUGACUCGAACAAAUAAAAGCAUAAAACACCUACGCUUAAAAAAUAGCAACUAAUAGUUCGAAUCAUUCAUUAAUAGAGAAAUCAUAAUAUGAGCUGAUCUUUUAGUUUAAUCCUUGCUAUCUACUUGCAAAACAUUAUCAAAGUUAAAGUGAAAAUCUCACAUAAAUCUCAUUAAGUUCAUAUUUGGUAGCUAAAUUUUGAAGAACUCCAGGUUCUUAGAAAUAUGAAAGCUUAGUCAUGUCAUCAACACCUCUAAAAGGAGCUUAUGUAUCCUUUGGAAACACUUUUGUGACGUCAGUGACAACCUGCAAUGAAUUAUCCAUUCAGUGAGAUUCGUUUAAUAACUAUGAAAUAAAAUUCUUGGAAAGACAUGGCUCGGGGCAUAUCUACGAUCAUACUUGCUAUUAGUUAUUACGACUCCAGGUUCAUGCAAAUAUGAAACCUGACCUUAAUUCAAAUUAAGUAACAUUAUGUAUGAUGAACAUGAGGACCAUGUUCUACCACUACACUAGGGGACUUUCCUGCUAAAGGAAAUUUUGUACGGCGGUAUGGGUAAAAUUAAAAUUUUACAUAUAUUAAAUACAUGUAGUGGAAUUAAUAAUACACAAACCAUACGCAAAUUUGAUAUUUAAGCAACACGUAUAUUCAUCCCAUGAAUAUAAAUAAACACAUAUUUGUAGUUUGGUGUAGGGAUGGAGUACAAAAUCAGUUUUUUGUACUGAGACCGUAUCCACCUUAGGCUGUGGUGGUCUUAAUCUGUCCACAUCUAUCACACUAUCCGAUACCGUUCUAGUUACCUCUUCUCGUGCUAGACACAAAGGUUCCCUGUAUCACUUAUACCCACGUCUCAAUUUUUCUUGUGUGACUCUCACACGAAUUAAUUUUAUAACGGUAGAAAAAAUUACAAAGAAAGCAGAGGAAGAAGAAGAAGAAGAAGAAGAAGAAGAAGAAGUAGCAUGCAAGCAAUUAAUAUUGUUGCUUCAAUUUAAUCCUUAGAGAAUUCGUCCCUCGCUAAGCUGUAACACCCAGUGUUACUAGUGUUAAGAAAAUGAGAAAGAAAAUGAGAAACUUCCAAAAUGGAUCCUUAAGAAUAAUAGUGCCUUAUGAGAGGGGAGGGGCAUUUUGAUAAUUUGGAUAGUAAAGUCAAAUGAAUGAAUUAAAUUAUUAAAAAUAGGAAAAAUAGUAAAUAUUCAAUUAUGUGAGAAAUAAUUGUUUUUUUCCUAAAUUGGUGAAUUAAGGUGGUGAUGCCUAAUGGAUGGUUAAGAUGGAAAAUGGUCUCCCAUUAAUGCUUUGAAAAUAUGGGAUUUAUUUAAGGGGAAAAGAAAUUAAUUAUGUAAUUCAUUCUUGAUGUGUGAAAAUUGUCUCCAUUUAUUAAAUGUUGAGAAAUUAUUAAAUCCAAUGGAUGGGAUUAAUCUUUGAGUGGGAUUUGUGAUCCAAUGGUGAUUAUUUAUUCUUGGGUCAUGGCAUGGAUUGCCAAUGUGUAUAUAUAUAUAUGUAUUUGUGGGAAGGCACAUAUCAAUAUAUGUGUGUGUGCAUAUGUGUAGAUAUUUUUGGAGAAAUGAGAGAUUAAAAUAAUUUAAAAAGGAAAUUAUAAAUGUCUCUCAAAGAAUUUAUGAAGGCCAUCAUAAUGUUGGAGAAAAAGAUAAAUGGAAAAGAAAGUAAAAUGGUCACCAUUAAUGCUUGAAAAUAUGGUGAUUUAUAUAAAUGAAAAAGGAGGGAUUUAUGUCUCUCAAAAGUGAUGGGUAAAAUUAGUCCAAUUUAAAUAAUUGCAAAUUGGAAAGAAUUCAAGCUAUGAGAUUGGGUCUUAAAAUUGGAAGAAUGAUCCAAUGGUGGUGGAUGGAAGCUUGUGGUUGGCAUGGAUUGUCACAUAUGGUUGUAGCCAAGAUGUGUUUCUAUCCAAUGAUGGAGAUUAGAUCUCCUCAAAAUCAAUGGUUGAGAUUGAGAUUUCUCAAGAGCACAUGGAUUGUGCUUUAUUUGUAUGGCUAGGAUUUACUCUCCAAAAGAGAAAAGAAUGGAGGGUUGAGAUGAAGUCUUGUAUUUGUAAUAUCAAGACUAGAAGAAUAAAUCAAAAAGAAAGGAAAAUGAAUGAAGAAUGAAGAAAUCUUCCAUUGUUGAGAAAAAGAAAGAAAGAGAGAUAGGAAGAAGUCUCUCAAAGAGGAAAUGAUGAAGAAGAAGAUGAAGGGAUCAAGGUAAGUCUUAUUUUUCUUCUCUUUAUUUUGGUAUACUUUGUAUGCAAAGUAAGUUGCUUGUUUGAAAUGUCACCUUAGAUAGAAAAAGAUGAUGAUGGGAGCUCUCUUGAGAUGAAGAUUGGAAGAUUUAAAGAAUGAGGUAAGGGAUAACCCCAUGGAAUGGUGGCUUGUAAGUGGUAAAGUAUG